RNAcentral lists this ribosomal RNA (254 nucleotides) under uncultured bacterium. Its description in RNAcentral is "partial 16S ribosomal RNA". It matches the Rfam family "Bacterial small subunit ribosomal RNA", at positions 524 to 776 of the family's 1533-position model. The record is from RNAcentral.
CACGUAGGGGGCAAGCGUUGUCCGGAUUCAUUGGGCGUAAAGAGCUCGUAGGCGGUUCGAUAAGUCGGGUGUGAAACCUCCAGGCUCAACCUGGAGACGCCACCCGAUACUGUCGUGACUAGAGUCCAGUAGGGGAGCGUGGAAUUCCUGGUGUAGCGGUGAAAUGCGCAGAUAUCAGGAGGAACACCGGUGGCGAAGGCGCCACUCUGGGCCGGUACUGACGCUGAGGAGCGAAAGCGUGGGUAGCAAACAGG